Molecule: long non-coding RNA, 1033 nt
Organism: Gorilla gorilla gorilla (western lowland gorilla)
Lineage: Eukaryota; Metazoa; Chordata; Mammalia; Primates; Hominidae
Exons: 3
Source: RefSeq, a predicted model, not a curated record
UGCAUAUCUUUUCAGCCACUCUCCCCUUGGUGAACUCCUAGUCAUGCUUCAAAGCCCAACUCACCAUGUCACCUCCUCUGAGAAGCCUUCCUUUGCCUAUUUUUGCUCUCAUUACACUUUGUGCAUCCAUCUACCACUUAGCACUCAGCCCACUGGAUCACAAUUGUUCAUUGUGUGUGUCAUGUGGACAGGGACCAAAUCUUAUUCCCAACUUCCAACUCAUGACCUGGCAUGGGAUAGGGGAGAGGCUAAUUCAUUCCCUAGCCCAAACCUUAUCCUCACUUUUGGUACAAAACUCACUGGCUGCAGUGAGUUUUCAGGACCCGUCUUAACUGUUCUACAGCUUGGCAGAGUGACUGAAGGGAAGAACCCAGUUGGAUGAAAUCACUGCAUAUGGUCAUCUGAAGUAUAGUUUGUCUGAUGCUGGAAGAAUUCUUAGUUGACCCUGAAGUGGCCUCUUUGUCUGCCUGCUGUGCCCCUCAAAGAUGAGAAGCUUCUCUCUGACAGCUGGAAGAGCUGGACCCUGCAUUCUGGAAAGUAUUUAGGCAGUUCUCUGAGCCCUUCCCCUAGUACCAAGUAGUGAAUGAAGCAGAGCCUUCGAAGCCAGAAGGUCUAGACUGAAAGCACAGCUCGCCACCUGCUCACCAAUGAACCGGGGAAAGUUGCUUACCCUUUGGAAUCCUCAGCUUACUUCUCUGAAAGGCUUGCUUCUUGUUCCCAUCUACAUGGAUCCCAGCUUAAAUCUUGAUUCCUUCUGCUCCAUUCCAUUUUACACACUGUGGCCCCUCCAACUUUGUAUAAUCACAUAGAGCAUCCUCACGUGCCGAGUCUGGGCCACCUCAGAAUCAAGACAAGCCUUGACCCCACCACCUACACAAUGGCUCUAAAUCAGUGCGCUAGUGUACAAAAAACUAUCAUGAGGUACAAUCAAGAUGAUUAAUGCAAAAGGAAAUAGAGUCAUGUAAAUGCUAAAGUGACAAAUUAAUGCUUCUUGUUGUCAUUGUUGUUAUUUUUAUAAUUAUGCAGGAUUUAU